Molecule: ribosomal RNA, 489 nt
Filed under: uncultured bacterium
Lineage: Bacteria
Description: partial 16S ribosomal RNA
Rfam family: Bacterial small subunit ribosomal RNA
Source: RNAcentral
UUGAACGCUGGCGGCAUGCCUUACACACGCAAGUCGAACGGCAGCAUGAUCUAGCUUGCUAGAUUGAUGGCGAGUGGCGAACGGGUGAGUAAUACAUCGGAACGUGCCCUGUAGUGGGGGAUAACUAGUCGAAAGAUUAGCUAAUACCGCAUACGACCUGAGGGUGAAAGUGGGGGACCGCAAGGCCUCAUGCUAUAGGAGCGGCCGAUGUCUGAUUAGCUAGUUGGUGAGGUAAAGGCUCACCAAGGCGACGAUCAGUAGCUGGUCUGAGAGGACGAUCAGCCACACUGGGACUGAGACACGGCCCAGACUCCUACGGGAGGCAGCAGUGGGGAAUUUUGGACAAUGGGCGAAAGCCUGAUCCAGCAAUGCCGCGUGUGUGAAGAAGGCCUUCGGGUUGUAAAGCACUUUUGUCCGGAAAGAAAUGGCUCUGGUUAAUACCUGGGGUCGAUGACGGUACCGGAAGAAUAAGGACCGGCUAACUACGUG